CGGGUGGUAAUGCCGGAUGCUCCGGUUGGAUGCAUGUCCUUCCGGGAAAGAUUCCAUCGGUAUGGGAUGGGGUCGCGUCCUAUCAGCUUGAUGGCGGGGUAACGGCCCACCAUGGCUUCGACGGGUAGCCGGCCUGAGAGGGCGACCGGCCACAUUGGGACUGAGAUACGGCCCAGACUCCUACGGGAGGCAGCAGUGGGGAAUAUUGCACAAUGGGCGCAAGCCUGAUGCAGCGACGCCGCGUGCGGGAUGGAGGCCUUCGGGUUGUAAACCGCUUUUGAUCGGGAGCAAGCCCUUCGGGGUGAGUGUACCCUUCGAAUAAGCACCGGCUAACUACGUGCCAGCAGCCGCGGUAAUACGUAGGGUGCAAGCGUUAUCCGGAAUUAUUGGGCGUAAAGGGCUCGUAGGCGGUUCGUCGCGUCCGGUGUGAAAGCCCAUCGCUUAACGGUGGGUCUGCGCCGGGUACGGGCGGGCUGGAGUGCGGUAGGGGAGACUGGAAUUCCCGGUGUAACGGUGGAAUGUGUAGAUAUC
RNAcentral lists this ribosomal RNA (531 nucleotides) under Bifidobacterium dentium. Its description in RNAcentral is "bacterial SSU rRNA". It matches the Rfam family "Bacterial small subunit ribosomal RNA", at positions 157 to 698 of the family's 1533-position model. The record is from RNAcentral. Lineage: Bacteria; Bacillati; Actinomycetota; Actinomycetes; Bifidobacteriales; Bifidobacteriaceae.